This 497-nucleotide ribosomal RNA is filed under the name uncultured bacterium. Its description in RNAcentral is "partial 16S ribosomal RNA". It matches the Rfam family "Bacterial small subunit ribosomal RNA", at positions 28 to 507 of the family's 1533-position model. The record is from RNAcentral.
GAUGAACGCUGGCGGCGUGCCUAAUACAUGCAAGUCGAGCGAACAGAUGAGGAGCUUGCUCCUCUGACGUUAGCGGCGGACGGGUGAGUAACACGUGGAUAACCUACCUAUAAGACUGGGAUAACUUCGGGAAACCGGAGCUAAUACCGGAUAAUAUAUUGAACCGCAUGGUUCAAUAGUGAAAGACGGUUUUGCUGCCACUUAUAGAUGGAUCCGCGCCGCAUUAGCUAGUUGGUAAGGUAAAGGCUUACCAAGGCAACGAUGCGUAGCCGACCUGAGAGGGUGAUCAGCCACACUGGAACUGAGACACGGUCCAGACUCCUACGGGAGGCAGCAGUAGGGAAUCUUCCGCAAUGGGCGAAAGCCUGACGGAGCAACGCCGCGUGAGUGAUGAAGGUCUUCGGAUCGUAAACCGCUGUUAUUAGGGAAGAACAAAUGUGUAAGUAACUAUGCACGUCUUGACGGUACCUAAUCAGAAAGCCACGGCUAACUACGUG